GAUGAAGAACGUAGCGAAAUGCGAUAAGUAAUGUGAAUUGCAGAAUUCAGUGAAUCAUCGAAUCUUUGAACGCACAUUGCGCCCCCUGGUAUUCCGGGGGGCAUGCCUGUUCGAGCGUCAUUUCACCACUCAAGCCUCGCUUGGUAUUGGGCAUCGCGGUCCGCCGCGCGCCUCAAAUCGACCGGCUGGGUCUUCUGUCCCCUAAGCGUUGUGGAAACUAUCGCUAAAGGGUGUUCGGGAGGCUACGCCGUAAAACAACCCCAUUUCUAAGGUUGACCUCGGAUCAGGUAGGGAUACCCGCUGAACUUAAGCAUAUCAAUAAGCGGAGGA
RNAcentral lists this unclassified non-coding RNA (330 nucleotides) under soil metagenome. RNAcentral describes it as "partial contains 5.8S ribosomal RNA, internal transcribed spacer 2, and large subunit ribosomal RNA". The stretch from base 1 to 120 matches the Rfam family "5.8S ribosomal RNA", at positions 35 to 154 of the family's 154-position model. The record is from RNAcentral.